This 227-nucleotide unclassified non-coding RNA is filed under the name plant metagenome. RNAcentral describes it as "partial contains small subunit ribosomal RNA, internal transcribed spacer 1, and 5.8S ribosomal RNA". The record is from RNAcentral.
UUUCCGUAGGUGAACCUGCGGAAGGAUCAUUAAAGAAUUUGCCCCGUCCUCUCGAGGAUGGGUCCUCUUCUAAACCGUGCAUACAUACCUUUGUUGCUUUGGCGGGCCGCCGUCUCGGCGUUGGCUUCGGCUGACUGUGCCCGCCAGAGAACCCCAACUCUUCUGUUUAGUAUUGUCUGAGUACUAUAUAAUAGUUAAAACUUUCAACAACGGAUCUCUUGGUUCUG